CUGCGGCUGGAUCACCUCCU
RNAcentral lists this ribosomal RNA (20 nucleotides) under Haloferax mediterranei ATCC 33500. RNAcentral describes it as "partial 16S ribosomal RNA". Lineage: Archaea; Methanobacteriati; Methanobacteriota; Halobacteria; Halobacteriales; Haloferacaceae. The record is from RNAcentral.